Molecule: ribosomal RNA, 258 nt
Filed under: uncultured bacterium
Lineage: Bacteria
Description: partial 16S ribosomal RNA
Rfam family: Bacterial small subunit ribosomal RNA
Source: RNAcentral
UACGUAGGGUGCGAGCGUUUGUCCGGAAUUACUGGGCGUAAAGAGCUCGUAGGUGGGUUUGUCGCGUUGUUCGUGAAAACCUGAGGCUUAACCUUGGGCGUGCGGGCGAUACGGGCAGACUGGAGUACUGCAGGGGAGACUGGAAUUCCUGGUGUAGCGGUGGAAUGCGCAGAUAUCAGGAGGAACACCGGUGGCGAAGGCGGGUCUCUGGGCAGUAACUGACGUGGAGGAGCGAAAAGCGUGGGGGAGCGAAACAGG